Molecule: ribosomal RNA, 232 nt
Filed under: uncultured bacterium
Lineage: Bacteria
Description: partial 16S ribosomal RNA
Rfam family: Bacterial small subunit ribosomal RNA
Source: RNAcentral
CGGACGGGUGAGUAAUGUCUGGGAAACUGCCCGAUGGAGGGGGAUAACUACUGGAAACGGUAGCUAAUACCGCAUAACGUCGCAAGACCAAAGAGGGGGACCUUAGGGCCUCUUGCCAUCGGAUGUGCCCAGAUGGGAUUAGCUAGUAGGUAAGGUAACGGCUUACCUAGGCGACGAUCCCUAGCUGGUCUGAGAGGAUGAUCAGCCACACUGGGACUGAGACACGGCCCAG